CUGUGCCUUCACAGUGCCACUUUUCGACUCUGACUAUCCUGCGUCUGUAGGCUUCACUUUCUCCUUAUACACAUGGAGAACAGAGGUUGAGGGCAUUGCUGGCGAGGUCAGUAUUUAUGGCCCAUCUCAGAGGAUAGUUAAGAGUCAACCACAUUGCUCCACAUCUAGAGUCACAUGUAUUCCAGACCAGAUAUCACUGGCUGGUCCAUGCUGAAUUGAACUUGAGAAGGUGUUUUUCAGCUGCCUUCUUGAACCACUGCAGUCCCUUUGGUGUAGGUGCAAUCCCUAAUGACGUUACGGAGGCAGUUCUGUGAUUUUGAUCCAGCAACAUUGAAGAAAUAGUGAUACAUUCUCAAGUCUGGAUGGAGACUGCAAAUUCCUUUCUAUGCCUCAAAGUCAAUGUACAUGCAAAAGUCAAUGAAACAGAUGUGUUAGCAGCUACAAAGCCUGGAUUCACACAGUUAACUGAAUCAAUGGAUAUUUUAUUUUACUGCUCGAAACAGUUUAGAUAUGCUCGGCGGUCAAAGGGCUGUGGCUAAUCGGCGGCGGCAAAUCUGCUGUGGCGAAUGGUCCCAUCCAGAUUUGGAGAAGUAAAAUCGUACCCUUGUGUACUGGUUGGCUUGCCAUAAUCCUGCUGCGAGGGCCCUUUUGUGCAGCUGAUGUUAACUGUUAAACACAAACCACUUGAUGCAUUGCGCCAGAGUGGUGCAGCUAAAACUGUGGAUUUUUAAAGUUGAAAGAGAGAGCUACUGAAAAGCAACAGCAAGGAAGUAAAUUUAAAACAAGAGUUUGCAACUUUAAAUUACUGGGUGAAUCAAAAGGCAGUGAAUAUUCUACUCUGCUGCUGUGGAAAUGAAAGGGGAGAUACGAAACAGAACAAGAGCUUUUUUGUACCUACUCUGUGAUAAAACUAUGCAAUAAGUGUGUAAUUAAUUAAAAAUGAGCCUAUAAAGAUGACUGCUAGAGAGAUACUAACUGAUGAUUCUGACAAAUCAUCGUAUGACAUACAACAGGUUGUCAUCCUUAGGUCCAAGCAUAAUAAAGGGUUUGUGAAUGUUAGAAUGCUGACUGAAAAAAAGUGCCAGAAAGACACCAUACAACAUCAUGAACUUCAUAGACAUGUGCAAAUUCACUCAAAACAGUGACCCAAAAAUAAAGCUGCAGAAGAUACGUUUCAGACUUUAUGAUGACAUCAUACUUAUGCAAGAGGACAUAUGAAGCUGCAAGUGCAAUACAAUGAGAAGUGUGAACAUAUGAAGUUCCAGAUAAACAUCAAGAUAAAUCCACUCACCUGAGCUGAAGUAAAUCUAAAGCUUGGACAAAGUCUAAAUGAACUCGAGGGUUUUACAGCAUUUGCGGUUCACUGAUCGAUUGACUGCUGAACAGAUCCUAGAAGAUUAUAAACAUAUUUUCACUUCUUGGAUGUCUCCUUGCUGAAAAUUGCCAAAUGGAUCACAAAGAAAUCCAAGCAAAAUUAGCACGGGCUUGUAGAAGGCAACUCCUAAAGGAAAAAAUACACAUCCUGAAACUAUGGAAAGUAGUCCAGUGUAAAAACUAAUGACACUGCACAUCCAUGUUGCUGUUCCAAAAGCAAAAAAAAAACUAAAGCCAGAGCAUGAAGUGGUAUCAGGCAUGAGUGGCAAGGUCAAGGUGAAAAUUCAGAAAGACACAUUUCACUUUGACAUAACUGCAGUCAUAGUCAAAUUCGAGCAUUGGAGAGCCAGUUGUAUUGCAAACAUUCAACACUCUUGACAAAGUUCAACCCACACAGUAAUUUGGGGCCUGCAUAGAGAAGAUGUUACUUCAAAUCUUUGUAGUAAAUAUGAAUUACUAGAUAUAUCAUUGCAACUGCAGGCAUCUAUGCUUGACUACAAUGGAAGCUGUAUUUGAAAAUAAAAUGUCCAUUAAUCUUUCUGUACAGCUUCAUUGUAGGCAAGGGAUCUGGAAGAAGUGAUCUCAAAAUGUAAAGAGUAUAGAAUGACCAUUAAUCCAAGAAGUCCAUCAUUCUAAGCAACAGAAAUAGAUAAGCCAUCAUUGUCAUGACCAUAGCACUCACAAAGGAAAUUAUACUCUCUGGAGAAAGCGCUUUAUCCAAGUAAUGUGUAGCUACCACAGGAACAGGCAAUGGCAACACGCACAGAUAUCGUUAGGCGAUCUGUAUGAGUUAAAGUCUAUUUAUGGCAUGUAUGUGCAGAAACUGAUUAAAUUGGA
Non-coding RNA from Chiloscyllium plagiosum (whitespotted bambooshark), 2211 nucleotides. The record is from RefSeq and is a predicted model, not a curated record. Lineage: Eukaryota; Metazoa; Chordata; Chondrichthyes; Orectolobiformes; Hemiscylliidae.